UAACGCGAAGAACCUUACCAGGUCUUGACAUCUUUUGCUAACCUAAGAGAUUAGGCGUUCCCUUCGGGGACGGAAUGACAGGUGGUGCAUGGUUGUCGUCAGCUCGUGUCGUGAGAUGUUGGGUUAAGUCCCGCAACGAGCGCAACCCUUAUUGUCAGUUGCCAGCAUUAAGUUGGGCACUCUGGCAAGGCUGCCGGUGACAAACCGGAGGAAGGUGGGGAUGACGUCAAAUCAUCAUGUCCCUUAUGACCUGGGCUACACACGUGCUACAAUGGACGAUACAACGAGUCGCUAGACCGCGAGGUUAAGCUAAUCUCUGAAAGUCGUUCUCAGUUCGGAUUGCAGGCUGCAACUCGCCUGCAUGAAGUCGGAAUCGCUAGUAAUCGCGGAUCAGC
Molecule: ribosomal RNA, 395 nt
Filed under: uncultured bacterium
Lineage: Bacteria
Description: bacterial SSU rRNA
Rfam family: Bacterial small subunit ribosomal RNA
Source: RNAcentral